GUGCCCUGGCAGGUUGCUGCAGGGCCUGCACAGGCUCACACAGAAGGGCAAAGCAAGUCUCCAGAAAACCCAGGGACCGGGUUGCAAGAACUCUUCUUUGGAUCCUGUCUGGAGGCACAGCU
RNAcentral lists this small nucleolar RNA (122 nucleotides) under Echinops telfairi (small Madagascar hedgehog). RNAcentral's name for it is "Small nucleolar RNA SNORA26 (ENSETEG00000023894.1)". It matches the Rfam family "Small nucleolar RNA SNORA26". Rfam says of the family: The snoRNA HBI-6 belong to the H/ACA family of snoRNAs, guiding the pseudouridylation of position U4522 if the 28S rRNA. HBI-6 is the human orthologue of mouse MBI-6 snoRNA. The record is from RNAcentral. Lineage: Eukaryota; Metazoa; Chordata; Mammalia; Afrosoricida; Tenrecidae.